UACGUAGGGGGCAAGCGUUGUUCGGAAUUACUGGGCGUAAAGGGCGCGUAGGCGGCCUGCUAAGUCGAACGUGAAAUCCCCGGGCUCAACCCGGGAACUGCGUCCGAUACUGGCAGGCUUGAAUCCGGGAGAGGGAUGCGGAAUUCCAGGUGUAGCGGUGAAAUGCGUAGAUAUCAGGAAGAACACCCGUGGCGAAAGCGGCUCUCUGGAACGGUACUGGCGCUGAGACGCGAAAGCGUGGGGAGCGAACAGG
This 253-nucleotide ribosomal RNA is filed under the name uncultured bacterium. RNAcentral's name for it is "partial 16S ribosomal RNA". It matches the Rfam family "Bacterial small subunit ribosomal RNA", at positions 524 to 776 of the family's 1533-position model. The record is from RNAcentral.